CCCUUAGAUGUUCUGGGCUGCACGCGCGCUACACUGAUGCACUCAACGAGUUUACACCCUUGCCUGGAAAGGUUGGGUAAUCUUUUGAAAGUGCAUCGUGAUAGGGAUAGACUAUUGCAAUUAUUGGUCUUCAACGAGGAAUUCCUAGUAGACGUAGUUCAUCAGACUGCAUCGAUUACGUCCCUGCCCUUUGUACACACCGCCCGUCGCUCCUACCGAUUGAAUGCUCAGGUGAGCCAUUCGGACUUUCAUCAUGCUGGUUUCCAGUUUUGAUGAAGGAAAGUCUUGCGAACCUUAUCAUUUAGAGGAAGGAGAAGUCGUAACA
Molecule: ribosomal RNA, 325 nt
Filed under: uncultured eukaryote
Lineage: Eukaryota
Description: partial 18S ribosomal RNA
Rfam family: Eukaryotic small subunit ribosomal RNA
Source: RNAcentral